This 253-nucleotide ribosomal RNA is filed under the name uncultured bacterium. RNAcentral's name for it is "partial 16S ribosomal RNA". It matches the Rfam family "Archaeal small subunit ribosomal RNA", at positions 474 to 727 of the family's 1478-position model. The record is from RNAcentral.
UACCAGCACCCCGAGUGGUCGGGACGAUUAUUGGGCCUAAAGCACCCGUAGCCGGUCCUACAAGUCUUCCGUUAAAUCCACCUGCUUAACAGAUGGGCUGCGGAAGAUACUAUAGGGCUAGGAGGCGGGAGAGGCAAGCGGUACUCAGUGGGUAGGGGUAAAAUCCUCUGAUCCAUUGAAGACCACCAGUGGCGAAGGCGGCUUGCCAGAACGCGCUCGACGGUGAGGGAUGAAAGCUGGGGGAGCAAACCGG